This 501-nucleotide ribosomal RNA is filed under the name uncultured bacterium. Its description in RNAcentral is "bacterial SSU rRNA". It matches the Rfam family "Bacterial small subunit ribosomal RNA", at positions 8 to 507 of the family's 1533-position model. The record is from RNAcentral.
AGAGUUUGAUCCUGGCUCAGAUUGAACGCUGGCGGCAUGCCUUACACAUGCAAGUCGAACGGUAACGGGCCUUCGGGUGCCGACGAGUGGCGAACGGGUGAGUAAUGUAUCGGAACGUACCUUUCAGUGGGGAUAACGUAGCGAAAGUUACGCUAAUACCGCAUAUUCUGUGAGCAGGAAAGCAGGGGAUCGCAAGACCUUGCGCUGAUUGAGCGGCCGAUAUCAGAUUAGCUAGUUGGUGAGGUAAAGGCUCACCAAGGCGACGAUCUGUAGCGGGUCUGAGAGGAUGAUCCGCCACACUGGAACUGAGACACGGUCCAGACUCCUACGGGAGGCAGCAGUGGGGAAUUUUGGACAAUGGGGGCAACCCUGAUCCAGCCAUGCCGCGUGAGUGAAGAAGGCCUUCGGGUUGUAAAGCUCUUUCGGCCGGGAAGAAAUCGUAUGGGUUAAUACCCUGUGCGGAUGACGGUACCGGCAUAAGAAGCACCGGCUAACUACGUG